UUUCCGUAGGUGAACCUGCGGAAGGAUCAUUAAUGAGUUGUAAUGGGGUUCGAUGCUGGCAGCCAAUUUUUGGAUGCAUGUGCUUGCCCUAACAAUCAUCUUCCAAACACCUGUGCACAUUUUUGAGGGAGUCUUGAGUUGGUUGCCGCUCUUGGGUGAUUUUCUCACAUUCCCUUAAAUCAUUAUACGCUAUUAACAAUGUUGAACGUGCUCUGUGCCGCAAGGCUAUUAAUAUAAUACAACUUUUAACAACGGAUCUCUUGGCUCUC
This 269-nucleotide unclassified non-coding RNA is filed under the name plant metagenome. Its description in RNAcentral is "partial contains small subunit ribosomal RNA, internal transcribed spacer 1, and 5.8S ribosomal RNA". The record is from RNAcentral.